Acanthosepion pharaonis is the source of this 110-nucleotide non-coding RNA. NCBI's taxonomy places the organism in Eukaryota, Metazoa, Mollusca, Cephalopoda, Sepiida, Sepiidae. The record is from the annotation of a GenBank genome assembly.
UACAGCCAUAUCCACGUGGAAACAUCGGUUACCAUACGAUCGCCAAAGUUAAGCAACGUCGAGCUUGGUCAGUACCUUGAUGGGUGACUACUUAAGGUUACGAGGUGCUG